UACGGGAGGCAGCAGGGGGAAUAUUGCACAAUGGGCGCAAGCCUGAUGCAGCCAUGCCGCGUGUAUGAAGAAGGCCUUCGGGUUGUAAAGUACUUUCAGUCGUGAGGAAGGUGUUAAGGUUAAUAACCUUAGCAAUUGACGUUAGCGACAGAAGAAGCACCGGCUAACUCCGUGCCAGCAGCCGCGGUAAUACGGAGGGUGCGAGCGUUAAUCGGAAUUACUGGGCGUAAAGGGCACGCAGGCGGUUAAUUAAGUUGGAUGUGAAAUCCCCGGGCUUAACCUGGGAAUGGCAUUCAAGACUGGUUAGCUAGAGUCUUGUAGAGGGGGUAGAAUUCCAUGUGUAGCGGUGAAAUGCGUAGAGAUGUGGAGGAAUACCGGUGGCGAAGGCGGCCCCUGGACAAAGACUGACGCUCAUGUGCGAAAGCGUGGGGAGCAAACGAGGGAUUAGAUACC
RNAcentral lists this ribosomal RNA (453 nucleotides) under uncultured bacterium. RNAcentral describes it as "bacterial SSU rRNA". It matches the Rfam family "Bacterial small subunit ribosomal RNA", at positions 340 to 786 of the family's 1533-position model. The record is from RNAcentral.